AAUGACGAGGCAGUUGUUCUUGUGUAUCCUGCAAAAUGCAUCUAAUAUGCUCCAAAACUGUUGUCAUGUUGCUGUUCAGGCUUUGAGACUCCAACAUAGAAACUAUUCUCGACCGAAGUUUCAACACCGGAACAUCGUCAUCCCUAUUAGAGAGCUCUUCAUUACAGGAAUCCUGAUUUUUUGGUGGUUCCAAGUCUGACAGCUUUUCUUUUACUCCCUUGUCUGUUGAAAUAUCAACGGAUGAUGUAGCAUCAUCGUUUUCGGUUUUCG
RNAcentral lists this unclassified non-coding RNA (270 nucleotides) under Hevea brasiliensis (rubber tree). The record is from RNAcentral. Lineage: Eukaryota; Viridiplantae; Streptophyta; Magnoliopsida; Malpighiales; Euphorbiaceae.